This 377-nucleotide ribosomal RNA is filed under the name uncultured bacterium. RNAcentral describes it as "bacterial SSU rRNA". It matches the Rfam family "Bacterial small subunit ribosomal RNA", at positions 521 to 896 of the family's 1533-position model. The record is from RNAcentral.
UAAUACGGAGGGUGCGAGCGUUGUCCGGAAUCACUGGGCGUAAAGGGCGCGUAGGCGGUCUGCUAAGCGUGUGGUGAAAGCUCGGGGCUCAACCCCGAGUCUGCCAUGCGAACUGGUGGACUUGAGCACUGUAGAGGCAGGUGGAAUUCCGGGUGUAGCGGUGGAAUGCGUAGAGAUCCGGAAGAACACCAGUGGCGAAGGCGGCCUGCUGGGCAGUUGCUGACGCUGAGGCGCGACAGCGUGGGGAGCAAACAGGAUUAGAUACCCUGGUAGUCCACGCCGUAAACGAUGGGAACUAGGUGCUUGGGGGAGCGACCCCCCGAGUGCCGGCGCUAACGCAUUAAGUUCCCCGCCUGGGGAGUACGGCCGCAAGGCUG